RNAcentral lists this ribosomal RNA (264 nucleotides) under uncultured archaeon. Its description in RNAcentral is "partial 16S ribosomal RNA". It matches the Rfam family "Archaeal small subunit ribosomal RNA", at positions 716 to 982 of the family's 1478-position model. The record is from RNAcentral.
ACAGUCACACAUUAGAUACCCCCGUAGUCCUGGCCGUAAACGAUGUGGACUUGGUGUUGGGAUGGCCUCGAGCUGCCCCAGUGCCGAAGGGAAGCUGUUAAGUCCACCGCCUGGGAAGUACGGUCGCAGGACUGAAACUUAAAGGAAUUGGCGGGGAGCACCACAACGCGUGGAGCCUGCGGUUUAAUUGGAUUCAACGCCGGACAUCUCACCAGGGGCGACAGCAGGAUGAUGGCCAGAUUGACGAUCUUGCUUGACAAGCUG